RNAcentral lists this ribosomal RNA (301 nucleotides) under uncultured bacterium. Its description in RNAcentral is "partial 16S ribosomal RNA". It matches the Rfam family "Bacterial small subunit ribosomal RNA", at positions 509 to 807 of the family's 1533-position model. The record is from RNAcentral.
CAGCAGCCGCGGUAAUACGAAGGGUGCAAGCGUUAAUCGGAAUUACUGGGCGUAAAGCGCACGCAGGCGGUUUGUUAAGUCAGAUGUGAAAUCCCCGAGCUUAACUUGGGAACUGCAUUUGAAACUGGCAAGCUAGAGUCUUGUAGAGGGGGGUAGAAUUCCAGGUGUAGCGGUGAAAUGCGUAGAGAUCUGGAGGAAUACCGGUGGCGAAGGCGGCCCCCUGGACAAAGACUGACGCUCAGGUGCGAAAGCGUGGGGAGCAAACAGGAUUAGAUACCCGGGUAGUCCCUGUCUCUUAUAC